UUGUAUUCACAUAAGUACUUUAAUCAGGCACUUUGACAAGAAGAAAAAAACAUCUGGCACAUCAGGGAAGAUAUAUGAUAUGCGUAGACAUUCGGGGGAACAUGUAUACUAUGGGCUACAUUCGGUAAGAAAGAGGAUGUAAAAUUGUAUAAAUAACAAACUGUAGAAACUGGUGAAUGGACAAAGUAAAAGCUCAAAACAACAUGAUAUCCCAGCUUCUUAAUUUCAGACAUAUAUAGCCUUGUGUUUUAGGGGCAAUUUAACAUGGCUUAACAAACACUUUUAAAGGUUUCUAAGUUGGAGUGAGUGCGUCCCAAAUGGCACCCGAUUCUCUACAUGGUGCACUACUUUUAUAGCACACUAUAGGGAAUAAAGUGCUAUUUGGAAUAUAGCGUCUGUGUCUCAAGGUAUUACUGUAGUUUCUCAGAGCCAAUAAAGGUAACGUUUCUUCAACUAACAUGUUCACAAUUCAAAAUGGCAUGAAGGCUCACAAACUGUCAGGCUAGAAGAAGCUCCAAUGUGACAAAUGAAGGAAAAUGUCACACAGGUCUACAUGGGUUGCGUCCUAAAUGGCACCCUAUUCCUUAUUUAGUGAACUAAUGUAUAGGGAAGUGCACUCCUUUUGCGGAGAAAAAGACCCCCAUAGGGCCCUGGUCAAAAGUAGUGCACUAUAUAGGGAAAUUGGUGUUAUGUUAUGGUACCAAGAAAUGGUGCAUCGUCAGACACUAGUUAUUAGCCAGUUACACCUAACUAUUAGUGAAAACUAAUAAUACUGUAAAUUAACAAUACUGAUAAUUUAAAAUACUGUAGCUCAGAGAAGGAACUAAGAGAAAACUAAAAAGCAACGCCAGCAUUUUAGUUAGUGCUCUGGUCUCAGUCCUGCAUGUGAUUUGAAAAGCAGUAUUUCAGAGAUUAAUCUGGCUAUGUGCAACACAAUGUCCCCUGCAAAGAAAUUAUGAAAAUAUCUGUUGCAACGAGCUCCUCCUGGUUCAGAAUGCUGGAGAGAAUCCCAUCGAUACUAAGAUGAACUUAGUGAGCUACAGUCUGUCAGACGGACACACACAACCCCUACUCAAACCUCAAGAGGUACACAGACAACCCCUACUCAAACCUCAAGAGGUACACACACAACCCCUACUCAAACCUCAAGAGGUACACACACAACCCCUACUCAAACCUCAAGAGGUAUACACACAACCCCUACUCAAACCUCAAGAGGUACACACACAACCCCUACUCAAACCUCAAGCGUUACACACACAACCCCUACUCAAACCUCAAGAGGUACACACAACCCCUACUCAAACCUCAAGAGGUACACACACAACCCCUACUCAAACCUCAAGAGGUACACACACAACCCCUACUCAAACCUCAAGCGUUACACACACAACCCCUACUCAAACCUCAAGAGGUACACACAACCCCUACUCAAACCUCAAGAGGUACACACACAACCCCUACUCAAACCUCAAGAGGUAUACACACAACCCCUACUCAAACCUCAAGAGGUACACACACAACCCCUACUCAAACCUCAAGAGGUACACACACAACCCCUACUCAAACCUCAAGAGGUACACACACAACCCCUACUCAAACCUCAAGAGGUACACACACAACCCCUACUCAAACCUCAUUAGGUACACACACAACCCCUACUCAAACCUCAAGAGGUAUACACACAACCCCUACUCAAACCUCAAGAGGUACACACAACCCCUACUCAAACCUCAAGAGGUACACACACAACCCCUACUCAAACCUCAGGGUUGUCCACAAAGAAUGUAAGCGGGGCGCUGCGCCACAAUGUGUACUGGCUGUGUCACUAUAUAUAUAUAUAUAUAUAUAUAAAUAAAAUAAAUUGGUUUACCCCACCGUACUCAGCAGCACCACCUUGUUAAAAAAAUCCUGGGGAGAAUUCAAACCUCACAGGUCACACACAACCCCUACUCAAACCUCAUGUCAGCUGUUUUGUCUUCUGUCUGUCUGGAUGGUUCGACUACCACUACAAUAACAACUAGACCUGUCUGUCUGGAUGGUAAGACUGCCACUACAAUAACAACUAGAC
Long non-coding RNA from Oncorhynchus tshawytscha (Chinook salmon), 2071 nucleotides. The record is from Ensembl. Lineage: Eukaryota; Metazoa; Chordata; Actinopteri; Salmoniformes; Salmonidae.